Molecule: long non-coding RNA, 2545 nt
Filed under: Theobroma cacao (cacao)
Lineage: Eukaryota; Viridiplantae; Streptophyta; Magnoliopsida; Malvales; Malvaceae
Description: long non-coding RNA (TCAC_LNC002732)
Source: RNAcentral
GUGGUUGAUCCGGUGAUCGGAAAGUCGAGGAUGCUGGUUACGCCGAGUGUGAAGGAGAAGGCAAAAGAAAUCGCAGAGACGUGGAAAAAGAGCCUUGAAGAGAGAGGAGGGAUUGAGAAUGUGAAGACUCCGGAUGUUCAUACUUUUCUGCAACAUUUGGUUACGUUUGGGAUUGUUAAGAAAGAGGAUCUGGAGCUUUAUAGGAAGCUUGUUGUUGGUUCUGCCUGGAGGAAACAAAUGCCUAAACUUGCCGUUUCGCUUGGCCUCGGUGACAAAAUGCCUGGUAUUUGAUUUCUUUUGUUGAGAUGAAAUUACUUUUUUUUUUAAUGUUCUUAUUUUCUGUUAGUGAGUACUAUCAUGGAGUUUCAAACUUGUUGCAGCUUAUUACAGUAUUCUAGGAGUCGAUGGUUAUGUUUCAUUGUGAUGGUGUUUUGAAAGUGAUUAUAUUGUCUGAUUAAUUUGAUCUUGGUGUCAAAACUUUCAGAAUGAACUUAAGAGUUGUAAAGAUAAGAUUUUUAGGGUAUUUCAUGAGUUAUGUUGCUUAUAUUCGAGACUCAGUGUUAGAUACAGGCAUGUGUCUGACAUGGGAUAUGUUCAAUUUCUUUCAAAGUUUUUCCUUAUAUUUAGGGAGGAGUGAAAACUCCAUAUGCAUGUCUGUCAGAUAUUUGCUGGACAUGGGUACUCGUGCAAGAAUUAAGAGUUGGAGCAAUAGUUGACUAGCAUAAUUAAGUGACUUGUAACCUAGGAUGUUAAUUAGCUGUUGCAUGUUGCCUUAACUUGUUGGUAAGCAUGUGCUUUUUCUUUUGUAAGCCAACAUGCUUUGGAGAUGGUUCGUGUUUGUUACUUGGUGUUUUUGGAAAGUAUACGGUAUGUCUUUAGUGGAACCAUUUAAAGAACUUAUAUCUUGAUGCACUUUUACCAUUUAGGGACAUGUGGGCUGCAUGUUGUGAAGAGUGUACCUGCUGGUUUUUGUGGUUUAAAUAGAACAAGAUACUAGAACUUUAUGUUAAGAUCAGUGAAGCUAUAUGUUCAUAGGAUCUGAUAUAUAUCAAGUUGUUCGUUAAAGCCAAGGGUUGUGUUAGUUUAGUACUGGGUAAAGAGUGAAUUCCAAGGUGUAGGUAUUGUAGCCAAACAGAUGUAGCUUGCAUAAUUCUAACAAGUAAAGAUUCAUUGUCUUUUUUAAUGUCUAUAUCACCAUUUAAUCCAUAAACAUGGUCAACAUUUCAUCGAAAAACAUUGCUUAUACUGGACUGUUGUGUUUUUGGAAGCUCUCUUAUGGGUUUUUACCAUUUGUGCUCAAAAUCAUUCCAUUAAGGUACAAUUGUAAAAUUGAGUUUCUAAUGCAUUUAAUUCUCCACUACAGACAUGAUUGAAGAAUUGGUCAGUAAGGGACAGCAGCUUGAUGCAGUUCAUUUCACUUAUGAAGUUGGCCUUGUAGACAAGUUCCCUCCUGUACCCCUGCUCAAAGCUUUCCUGAGGGAUGCAAAGAAAGCUGCGUCUUCUAUUUUAGAAGAUCCCAGUAAUGCCGGCCGGGCUGCGGUAUUCCCCUAUUUACUCAUAGUGAUCAUUUAUUUGUUUAAUUCUUACUAUAUCUGAUUUUGAAUUAUCCUAUCUUUUCUUGAUUAGAUGUUUGAUGCCAGGUUUCACUCCUGGGGUUUGCUGUAAGAAUACUUGAAUUCAUUUUGUCUCAUUGCAGUCAUAUAUUUGCAUAUUUGUGGAAGUAAAUUAAACUGAGAUGUUUUUGAUAAAGCAUGCCUAAUAUGGGUAAAUGUUAUUGCCAUUUUAUGUUUCUCUUCUGGGACGGGGAAUGGGGAUGUGAGAUUUUGGCUGGAUUAAAAUUCUUUGCCUUCCUUUUUAUCUCCUAGUUCAUGCUAAAUAUCAUGAAUAGGUAGUAUUCUAUUGACAAAUAGGUCGAUGAGUUUCAUUGCUUGUCUAUGCCUUUCUUUUAAAUUUUUCUUCAUUUGUAGCAGUUAUAUUACAAUUAACAAAUAAUGUUUAUUCUUGAUAUUUGCAGCAACUUGCUGCACGCAAGGAGCAAUCAGCACUUCGGGCUGUCAUCAAGUGCAUUGAAGAGUACAAACUUGAGGCUGAGUUUCCACCUGAAAACCUCAAGAAACGCCUUGAACAGCUAGAGAAGACCAAGACUGAGAAGAGGAAGGCAGCUGCAGUCCCUGCUAAUAAGCGAACGCGGGCUAGUAAUGGCGGUCCUAUGCCUCCAGCUAAAGCUGGCCGUUUGAUGAAUGCAUAUGUCUCAUCCUUUCCUGCACCUCCUACAUUUGUUAGGUCUCCUUCACACACUCAAUACCCUGCAGCAGUCCCAGCAUACCCAUCCCCACCUGCCAUGUAUGGAAGCAGGAGCCCACCGACCAAUCCCUAUGCUUAUUCACCAGAAGCAGCGCCUCCUCCCCUUUCUGGUUCUUACCCUGGUGCUCCCAUGAACUAUCCUGCAUAUGGGGGUUAUGGCAAUGGUUUGGCACCAGCUUAUCAGCAGGCUUACUACCGAUAGACAAUGACUACUCUGGAGAUGGUAACCACUGAUAUGAUG